ACCCAGCUGACGAGUCCUGAAUAAAACGAAACGCUAGUCUUGGAU
This 45-nucleotide non-coding RNA is filed under the name Schistosoma margrebowiei. Lineage: Eukaryota; Metazoa; Platyhelminthes; Trematoda; Strigeidida; Schistosomatidae. The record is from RNAcentral.